GACGAACGCUGGCGGCGUGCUUAACACAUGCAAGUCGAACGAAGUGGCGAACGGGUGAGUAACGCGUAAUCAACCUGCCCUUCAGAGGGGGACAACAGUUGGAAACGACUGCUAAUACCGCAUACUGAAGGAGGGGAUUGCGACUGAUUAGCUGGUUGGAGGGGUAACGGCCCACCAAGGCGAUGAUCAGUAGGCGGUCUGAGAGGAUGAGCGGCAACAUUUGAAGUGAGACAAGGCCAAGACUCCUACGGGAGGCAGCAGUUGGGAAUCAUCCGCAAUGGACGAAAGUCUGGCGGAGCAACGCCGCGUGAGUGAUGACGGCCUUCGGGUUGUAGAGCUCAGUUAAUCGGGACGCGGUACCGGAAUAGAAAGCCACGGCUAACUACGUGCCAGCAGCCGCGGUAAUUC
Molecule: ribosomal RNA, 408 nt
Filed under: uncultured bacterium
Lineage: Bacteria
Description: partial 16S ribosomal RNA
Rfam family: Bacterial small subunit ribosomal RNA
Source: RNAcentral